CAGUCGCCGCGGUAAUACGAAGGGUGCAAGCGUUACUCGGAAUUACUGGGCGUAAAGCGUGCGUAGGUGGUGGUUUAAGUCCGUUGUGAAAGCCCUGGGCUCAACCUGGGAAUUGCAGUGGAUACUGGGUCACUAGAGUGUGGUAGAGGAUAGUGGAAUUUCCGGUGUAGCAGUGAAAUGCGUAGAGAUCGGAAGGAACAUCUGUGGCGAAGGCGACUAUCUGGGCCAACACUGACACUGAGGCACGAAAGCGUGGGGAGCAAACAGGAUUAGAUACCCCAGUAGUCCCUGUCUCUUAUGC
RNAcentral lists this ribosomal RNA (301 nucleotides) under uncultured bacterium. RNAcentral's name for it is "partial 16S ribosomal RNA". It matches the Rfam family "Bacterial small subunit ribosomal RNA", at positions 509 to 809 of the family's 1533-position model. The record is from RNAcentral.